RNAcentral lists this unclassified non-coding RNA (200 nucleotides) under Ascomycota sp. RNAcentral's name for it is "partial contains small subunit ribosomal RNA, internal transcribed spacer 1, and 5.8S ribosomal RNA". The stretch from base 1 to 47 matches the Rfam family "Eukaryotic small subunit ribosomal RNA", at positions 1785 to 1831 of the family's 1831-position model. The record is from RNAcentral. Lineage: Eukaryota; Fungi; Ascomycota.
AAAGUCGUAACAAGGUCUCCGUAGGUGAACCUGCGGAGGGAUCAUUAACGAAUGGUCUUCUGGCCUUAACCCUCAAACCUGUGGAAGCAAGUUGUGCUUCGGCGACCCCGUCAAACGGGCCGCCGCAUUUAUGCUGUAUAGUGUUUGCGUCUGAAUACAAACAAAAAUUAAAACUUUCAACAAAGGAUCUCUUGGCUCUC